Molecule: ribosomal RNA, 454 nt
Filed under: uncultured bacterium
Lineage: Bacteria
Description: bacterial SSU rRNA
Rfam family: Bacterial small subunit ribosomal RNA
Source: RNAcentral
AGAGUUUGAUCAUGGCUCAGAACGAACGCUGGCGGCAUGCCUAACACAUGCAAGUCGAACGAGACCUUCGGGGUCUAGUGGCGCACGGGUGCGUAACGCGUGGGAACCUGCCUUUAGGUUCGGAAUAACUCAGAGAAAUUUGAGCUAAUACCGGAUAAUGUCUUCGGACCAAAGAUUUAUCGCCUUUAGAUGGGCCCGCGUAAGAUUAGCUAGUUGGUGGGGUAAAGGCCUACCAAGGCGACGAUCUUUAGCUGGUCUGAGAGGAUGAUCAGCCACACUGGGACUGAGACACGGCCCAGACUCCUACGGGAGGCAGCAGUGGGGAAUAUUGGACAAUGGGCGAAAGCCUGAUCCAGCAAUGCCGCGUGAGUGAUGAAGGCCUUAGGGUUGUAAAGCUCUUUUACCCGAGAUGAUAAUGACAGUAUCGGGAGAAUAAGCUCCGGCUAACUCCGUG